AACCGACUAAUGUUGAAAAAUUAGCGGAUGACUUGUGGCUGGGGGUGAAAGGCCAAUCAAACCGGGAGAUAGCUGGUUCUCCCCGAAAGCUAUUUAGGUAGCGCCUCGUGAACUCAUCUUCGGGGGUAGAGCACUGUUUCGGCUAGGGGGUCAUCCCGACUUACCAACCCGAUGCAAACUACGAAUACCGAAGAAUGUUAUCACGGGAGACACACGGCGGGUGCUAACGUCCGUCGUGAAGAGGGAAACAACCCAGACCGCCAGCUAAGGUCCCAAAGUCAUGGUUAAGUGGGAAACGAUGUGGGAAGGCACAGACAGCCAGGAUGUUGGCUUAGAAGCAGCCAUCAUUUAAAGAAAGCGUAAUAGCUCACUGGUCGAGUCGGCCUGCGCGGAAGAUGUAACGGGGCUAAACCAUGCACCGAAGCUGCGGCAGCGACGCUUAUGCGUUGUUGGGUAGGGGAGCGUUCUGUAAGCCUGCGAAGGUGGCCUGUGAGGGUUGCUGGAGGUAUCAGAAGUGCGAAUGCUGACAUAAGUA
This 535-nucleotide ribosomal RNA is filed under the name Klebsiella variicola. RNAcentral describes it as "partial 23S ribosomal RNA". It matches the Rfam family "Bacterial large subunit ribosomal RNA", at positions 777 to 1308 of the family's 2925-position model. Lineage: Bacteria; Pseudomonadati; Pseudomonadota; Gammaproteobacteria; Enterobacterales; Enterobacteriaceae. The record is from RNAcentral.